UAGGGAAUCUUGGGCAAUGGGCGAAAGCCUGACCCAGCGAUGCCGCGUGUGCGAAGAAGGCCUUAGGGUUGUAAAGCACUUUCAGCAGUGAAGAAAGGCCGGGGCUAAUAACCCCUUGGUCAUGACGUUAGCUGCAGAAGAAGCACCGGCUAACUCCGUGCCAGCAGCCGCGGUAAUACGGAGGGUGCGAACGUUAAUCGGAAUUACUGGGCGUAAAGCGCGCGUAGGUGGUUCGGCAAGUGGGAUGUGA
RNAcentral lists this ribosomal RNA (250 nucleotides) under uncultured bacterium. Its description in RNAcentral is "partial 16S ribosomal RNA". It matches the Rfam family "Bacterial small subunit ribosomal RNA", at positions 355 to 597 of the family's 1533-position model. The record is from RNAcentral.